AAUUUUCAUAGACAUUCAUUUCCCGAUAAGAAAAGAUCUAUUCUGUAUUAAUAUUAUAGUUAAUUGCUUCAUAAUGUGGCAUUAUUAUGUAAAAAAUACUGAAUAGAGGCGAAAUACCUACAUUUUUUUUGAUAUCUGGAUAGAGUUUAAAAGAAUUUAGUUCUUAAUAUAAUCGAAGAGUUAUAAGAUUCUUCGAAUAAAAAAUUGUAGGUUUAAGAAUAUAUAGGAAUAAUUUUCUCAUUAUUAUUAUAUGCUAUUAUUUAUAUCUGCUAUUAUAUUUUUACUUUAAACUCUUCUUUGGUUAAAAUAGCAUUAUGUUUUUUAAUAAUGUUUAAAUUAGUAUUUAUAUAAUAUAUCUUAAAAAGGAACUCGGCAAAAAUUUUUUCAACUGUUUACCAAAAACAUAGCUUAAAGAUAAGUAUUAUAUUUUAAGUGGUUUCUGCCCAGUGAAAUUUUUAACGGCCGCAGUACACUGACUGUGCUAAGGUAGCAUAAUAAUUUGGCUUUUAAUUGAAGUCGGGUAUGAAAGGGAUAAUGGGGAAUUUCUGUCUUUUUUAGAUAAAUAAAAGUUACUAAGAAAGUGAAAAUUCUUUCAUAUUUUACGUAAGACGAGAAGACCCUAAGAAUUUUUAUAAAUAUAUCUAAAUAUUUGUUAAAUUUUUGUUGGGGCAACAAUUUCGGUUAACCGAAAUUUACAUAAUAACACAUGUCAUAUUGUUUAAGGCAAGACAAAAUUACCUUAGGGAUAACAGCAUAAUUAUUUUUAUAGAUUGUGACCUCGAUGUUGGACUAAGGACUUAAUUAAAUAGCCUUUAAUUAAGCUAGUUCUGUUCGAACUUUUUACCUUA
Molecule: ribosomal RNA, 848 nt
Filed under: Schileykula batumensis
Lineage: Eukaryota; Metazoa; Mollusca; Gastropoda; Stylommatophora; Orculidae
Description: partial 16S ribosomal RNA
Source: RNAcentral